GACGAACGCUGGCGGCGUGCUUAACACAUGCAAGUCGAACGAUGAAGCUGGUGCUUGCACUGGUGGAUUAGUGGCGAACGGGUGAGUAACACGUGAGUAACCUGCCUUUCACUUUGGGAUAAGCCUUGGAAACGGGGUCUAAUACCGGGUAUGGACAUGUCAUCGCAUGGUGGUGUGUUGAAAGCUUUUGUGGUGGGAGAUGGACUCGCGGCCUAUCAGCUUGAUGGUGGGGUAGUGGCCUACCAUGGCUUUGACGGGUAGCCGGCCUGAGAGGGUGACCGGCCACACUGGGACUGAGACACGGCCCAGACUCCUACGGGAGGCAGCAGUGGGGAAUAUUGCACAAUGGGCGGAAGCCUGAUGCAGCGACGCCGCGUGGAGGAUGAAGGCUUUCGGGUUGUAAACUCCUUUCGCACAUGACGAAGCCUUUGGUGACGGUAGUGUGAGAAGAAGCACCGGCUAACUACGUGCCAGCAGCCGCCGUAA
Molecule: ribosomal RNA, 486 nt
Filed under: uncultured bacterium
Lineage: Bacteria
Description: partial 16S ribosomal RNA
Rfam family: Bacterial small subunit ribosomal RNA
Source: RNAcentral